UACGUAGGGUGCAAGCGUUAAUCGGAAUUACUGGGCGUAAAGCGUGCGCAGGCGGUUUUGUAAGUCUGUCGUGAAAUCCCCGGGCUCAACCUGGGAAUUGCGAUGGAGACUGCAAGGCUAGAAUCUGGCAGAGGGGGUAGAAUUCCACGUGUGAGCAGUGAAAUGCGUAGAGAUGUGGAGGAACACCGAUGGCGAAGGCAGCCCCCUGGGUCAAGAUUGACGCUCAUGCACGAAAGCGUGGGGAGCAAACAGGAUUACGAAACC
This 264-nucleotide ribosomal RNA is filed under the name uncultured bacterium. RNAcentral describes it as "partial 16S ribosomal RNA". It matches the Rfam family "Bacterial small subunit ribosomal RNA", at positions 524 to 787 of the family's 1533-position model. The record is from RNAcentral.